Molecule: ribosomal RNA, 478 nt
Filed under: uncultured bacterium
Lineage: Bacteria
Description: partial 16S ribosomal RNA
Rfam family: Bacterial small subunit ribosomal RNA
Source: RNAcentral
GACGAACGCUGGCGGCGUGCUUAACACAUGCAAGUCGAGCGAUGAAGUUCCUUCGGGAAUGGAUUAGCGGCGGACGGGUGAGUAACACGUGGGUAACCUGCCUCAUAGAGGGGAAUAGCCUUCCGAAAGGAAGAUUAACACCGCAUAAGAUUGUAGUAUCGCAUGAUACAGCAAUUAAAGGAGUAAUUCGCUAUGAGAUGGACCCGCGUCGCAUUAGCUAGUUGGUGAGGUAACGGCUCACCAAGGCGACGAUGCGUAGCCGACCUGAGAGGGUGAUCGGCCACAUUGGGACUGAGACACGGCCCAGACUCCUACGGGAGGCAGCAGUGGGGAAUAUUGCACAAUGGGGGAAACCCUGAUGCAGCAACGCCGCGUGAGUGAUGACGGUCUUCGGAUUGUAAAACUCUGUCUUCAGGGACGAUAAUGACGGUACCUGAGGAGGAAGCCACGGCUAACUACGUGCCAGCCGCCGCGGUAA